RNAcentral lists this long non-coding RNA (582 nucleotides) under Vulpes vulpes (red fox). RNAcentral's name for it is "lncRNA (ENSVVUG00000024495.1)". Lineage: Eukaryota; Metazoa; Chordata; Mammalia; Carnivora; Canidae. The record is from RNAcentral.
AUGAUGGGUUCCGACCCACGUCAUUGGAAGGGACGGAGACAACAGAGAAGGGUCAUUUCUGACGCAGCGGUUCCAGGACACGGGGCCCAGGCGGUCCUCGGAGACCCCGGGGCAGCCCGCGAGCCAGGCACGGAGGACAGGGAGCUGCCAGGCAGUGGCACCAACCCCAGCUUCGGUCCAUGGUGCCCCGGGGCGCUCCACGGUCUCUCUAACCGGCAGGAACAGAGAAAUGGGAAGUCCAGGCAGCCAGGGGGCCCGGGACACCCUCCCGUGAACACGGUCGCAGAAGGCCUGGCGGCAGAGAAGAUUCCGAGUACGUGUGCGACAAAAGCGACAGAAGACCUACUGACAGCCGCCGGAGGACAGCGGAAAGCCCAGGAUAUGCAGAGGGGAAACCCAGAGCCCAACAACGUGAAACACCGUGAAACACACGCCAGCAGGGCCCCCGCCCUCCCCUGGAACCAGACAGCGGAUCCUGCAGCUCACACGGAAAGACAAACCGGAGAGAGGAGCCGAGAACGCCGCGAGAGAGAACCAGGGCACGGCCUCCGAGGUCUCACAACUCCGGCAAAGCCUCGAUGA